This is a long non-coding RNA of Perca fluviatilis (European perch), 825 nucleotides long. RefSeq lists it as uncharacterized. The record is from RefSeq and is a predicted model, not a curated record. Lineage: Eukaryota; Metazoa; Chordata; Actinopteri; Perciformes; Percidae. The transcript has 3 exons.
CAGCCUUUCCGGAAGCUGUGCAGAUUAAAUCCAAGAUUAAUUUCGGCCACACAGCUGGGAAAAUGUGAACGGGAAGGUGGCGAAGUGCCAGAUAUGAUAGACAAAGAAACCAGGAGGCCAAAAAAAUUCAGGUUGGAGAAUGACGACCUCUUCACGGGGGACGAGGCACACAGCCAAGAAGGCCUGGGAGAUUACAGAAAAACAACUGGCCCAAUUUUCAUGAAACCUGAUGGAGGCGUGUAGGAUGGGCCAAGGAAGCACCCUUUUACUUGGAGCAGAUCUGAAUCACAGAUGCACAAAUUAUUUUUCCGCUUUCUUCUUUUCGAUUUCUUCCAGAUAUUUCAUGGCUCACCUGUUCACAGCUCAUCUGUUUGUCUUUGCUCUUCGUUGUCACACAUAUAGUAGAAACUGCUAUCGACGUGUUGUUUAAACACUCUGAGCAAUCAAACACAACAUCUUCUUUAUAGCAUCCAUGUUGUUUCCACAUUGAAGCUUAAAGCUCAUGAACACAGAAGUCAGCACAACUUGCCAACUCGGGAAAUGAGACCAUCGAAGGAGCACAUGAAUGCACCAUAGGCCUUGUUUUGUGCUCUCUGAGUGCAAGUUUAAUUACAUUUUUGUCAUUCGAUUAUUGUUUUAUCCUAUUACUUUUUGUCUUGUGAAUAUUGUCCAUAAGAGAUAAUCAAAUCAGUAAUAGUUAUCAUUUAUUUUGAGUGCAUAAACAUGUCAGAACUUAGGAAAGAAUCAGGUUCCAACAUAUUCAGAUCACUUCAUUUAUCUGAACAACAGUCCAAAACCCAAUGACAUUGGUUUUACCAUCAUAGG